This is an RNA transcript of Mus musculus (house mouse), 5159 nucleotides long. It is a transcript of the gene named diacylglycerol kinase, theta, with no coding region annotated. Lineage: Eukaryota; Metazoa; Chordata; Mammalia; Rodentia; Muridae. The record is from RefSeq and is marked validated. The transcript is spliced from 22 exons.
GGCCCCGCCCACGUGAGCCUGCGCGUUAGGUAGCGCAGUCGGAAGCCGGGAGCGGGCUCUGCCGAGGGCCCUCUCUACACCGCGGACCUGGCUUUAUCGUGCGCUUGGAGCUGGGGCGCUCGGGUUGUGGAUGGCGGCGGCAGCCGAGCCCGGUGCCCGGACCUGGCCGGGCAGUGGUUCCCCACGUCUUGGCAGCCCGGCCGGCAGUCCAGUGCUGGGCAUCUCGGGCCGCACACGCCCGGGGUCAGGGCCGGAGCGGACUAGCAGAGCUAUUGGCUCCGCAGCACCUGGCCACAGCUUUCGCAAGGUGACACUCACCAAGCCUACCUUCUGCCACCUCUGCUCGGACUUCAUCUGGGGACUGGCUGGCUUCCUGUGCGAUGUCUGCAACUUCAUGUCCCAUGAGAAGUGCCUGAAGCAGGUGAAGACCCCGUGCACAAGCAUUGCACCAAGCCUCGUCCGGGUGCCUGUAGCCCACUGCUUUGGUUCCCUUGGUCUCUACAAGCGCAAGUUCUGUGUGGUCUGCCGCAAGAGCCUGGAGGUACCCGCAUUCCGCUGUGAAGUGUGUGAGCUGCACGUUCACCCCGACUGUGUGCCCUUCGCCUGCAGCGACUGUCGUCAGUGCCACCAGGAUGGACAGCAGGAUUAUGACACGUAUCACCACCACUGGAGGGAGGGGAACCUGCCUUCUGGUGCACGAUGUGAGGUCUGUAGGAAGACUUGUGGUUCCUCAGAUGUGCUGGCUGGUGUACGCUGCGAGUGGUGUGGUGUACAGGCUCACUCAGUGUGCUCCACAGCACUUGCGCCUGAGUGUACAUUUGGACGUCUACGCUCCAUGGUACUGCCUCCUUCGUGUGUGCGCCUGUUGUCCCGAAACUUCAGCAAGAUGCACUGUUUCCGAAUCCCUGAGACCAUGGUCCUGGAGCUUGGUGAUGGGGAUGAUGGCGUAGACGGGAGUGCUGCUAUAGGCACAGGCAGAGAGGUACUGACAGCUACAGAGUCCACCAAACAGACCCUGAAGAUCUUUGAUGGCAACGACUCCAUGAGGAAAAAUCAGUUUCGUCUGGUUACAGUUUCCCGCCUGGCUCGGAAUGAGGAAGUGAUGGAGGCAGCACUUCGGGCCUACUAUAUUAGCGAGGACCCUAAGGACUUCCAGCUGCAGGCACUGCCCCUGUCUGGCAAUGCCCAGGCUCUGGGGAAGGCUGGGACCACUGAGGAGGAGGCUAGUAAAGGCUCUUGUCCCCGGGAUUCCGUGCCUGAGGCCUGGGUCAUCAGGUCUUUGCCUCGUACCCAAGAGAUCCUGAAGAUCUACCCUGGCUGGCUCAAGGUAGGUGUGGCCUACGUGUCCAUCCGUGUGAACUCCCAGAGUACAGCACGGUCUGUGGUUCAAGAGGUUCUCCCACUGUUUGGACAACAGGUUGAGGAUAAGGAGAGAUUCCAGCUGAUUGAGGUGCUCAUGAGCAGCAGACAAGUCCAACGGACCGUGCUGGCAGAUGAAGAACCUCUGCUAGACCGACUCUGGGACAUCCGACAGACUUCUGUGCGCCAGGUGAGCCAGACGCGGUUCUACGUGGCCGAGACCAGGGCCACGGCCCCACGUGUCUCCCUGUUCGUGGGUGGCCUGCCACCUGGCUUGUCCCCCCAGGAUUACAGCAACCUGCUGCAUGAGGCCAUGGCCACCAAAGCUGCUGUGGUGUCUGUGAGUCACGUCUACUCCUUACAAGGUGCAGUAAUUCUGGACGUCACCUGCUUCGCGGAGGCUGAGCGGCUAUACAUGCUGGCCAGGGACACAGCAGUGCAUGGCCGGCCACUGACUGCAUUAGUGCUUCCAGAUGUGCUGAAUCUGGCAGUGGCUGGGAAGAGCUGCACAGAGGGCAGCAGAGGACAGAGAAUUCAUAUGAGGAGUGCCAGAAGGAUUUAUGCCUGGGCUCCACAAAGUCCCCACAGCACACGAAGCUGCCUCCUGACUGCUGCCCUCUCCUCGUGUUUGUGAACCCCAAGAGUGGGGGUCUCAAGGGACGAGAACUGCUCUGCAGUUUCCGGAAGCUGCUGAAUCCGCACCAGGUCUUUGAGCUAACCAACGGGGGCCCUCUUCCUGGGUGAGCCACCUUUCUCUAGCUGGUAGAAAUUCUAAAUGGGACUGCUGGAAUCAUUAAGUCCUCUAUGUGGCCAGAGAUGGACAUCUGAAAAGGAAAGGGCUGCCCAGGGCAAGAAUGAGUAUCCAGGUUCUGGCCUGGGCAGCCAGGAGGUAGUGGCAGAAUACUGUCUCCCACACAGGUUCCACCUUUUCUCCCAGGUGCCCAGUUUUCGGGUACUGGUGUGUGGUGGAGAUGGCACCGUUGGCUGGGUGCUCGCUGCCCUGGAGGAGACAAGGCGCCAUCUGGCCUGUCCAGAGCCAUCUGUGGCCAUCUUGCCCCUGGGUACAGGGAAUGACCUUGGCCGGGUCCUUCGUUGGGGGGCAGGCUAUAGUGGUGAGGACCCAUUUUCUGUGCUGGUGUCGGUGGAUGAGGCUGAUGCUGUGCUCAUGGAUCGAUGGACAAUCCUGCUGGAUGCUCAUGAAAUUGAUAGUACAGAGAACAAUGUGGUAGAAACAGAGCCCCCCAAGGUACCAGUGUGGCACCAGCUAGAAUCUUACAUAUGGCUCCCCCUUUGCUGAUGUGCAACUUUCCUCCCAGUUACCCCUAAGGCAGAGCAGGAACUUGUUGACUGAAGCCUGUGGGGUUGUGGGAUUGUAGGGUUGUGCCUUCUGUGGGCAUGCUGUGGCAUUUAAGCAGAGAGGUUCCUAGGAAAAGGCACUGGUGACAAUAGAUAGAGAUGUCUGGCACAGUUUUGGACACUCAUGGGUGGCUGGCCAGCAUCCUGGUUAUGCCCUGUCUCCAGAUUGUUCAGAUGAAUAACUACUGUGGCAUUGGUAUUGAUGCGGAGCUCAGCCUGGACUUCCACCAGGCACGUGAAGAGGAGCCUGGCAAAUUCACAAGCAGGUUCCACAACAAGGGCGUGUAUGUGCGGGUCGGGCUGCAGAAGAUCAGCCACUCUCGAAGCCUACACAAGGAGAUCCGGCUGCAGGUGGAGCAGCAGGAGGUGGAGCUACCCAGCAUUGAGGGUCUCAUCUUCAUUAACAUCCCCAGCUGGGGCUCAGGGGCCGACUUGUGGGGCUCUGACAACGACUCAAGGUUUGAGAAGCCACGCAUAGACGACGGGCUGUUGGAGGUGGUGGGUGUGACAGGUGUCGUGCACAUGGGCCAGGUACAAGGUGGGCUACGCUCUGGAAUCCGCAUUGCCCAGGGCUCCUACUUCCGUGUCACACUCCUCAAGGCUACUCCAGUGCAGGUGGAUGGUGAGCCCUGGGUUCAGGCCCCAGGUCACAUGAUCAUCUCUGCUACUGCACCUAAGGUUCACAUGCUGAGAAAGGCUAAGCAGAAGCCCAGGAAGGCUGGCGCCAACAGGGAUACCCGAGUGGACACCUUGCCUGCUCCUGAGGGCAAUCCUUUAUAGAGGAGCCAAGAUGAGAGGUCUCAACCACCCAGCCUUUCUUUGGUUGGUCACACACUGGCUGGCCAGCAGAUGGACUUAGCUGUAGCACUGACCAUAGCAUCUUCAUGGGUCUUGGGAUGUUUCCAUCCCAAUGUCAUGUGCAAACUUAGGAGUGGGUAGGUAAUGGUCAUUACUCACGCUGCCAUACAUAGUACCAAUGUAUAUGACUGGGCAUGAGGCUCUGGCUAGCUUGUCUUCUGCACAAGACUAGUUCUUACAGGAAAAACGGAGCUGGUCCUGUUAGCCACAUUCCUUCCUUUGAAACCUCUCUUGAAACCCUCUUAGACCCAAUACGUCUGGAUGCAGGCCAUCCAGGUGGGUCCUCUGAUUUCAUUUGUUCUUUCAAAGCAGCUAACCAUGUUGGGCCCUGGCCUAACAGAUCCAGAAAGCUGCCUGUUCUCCUGUACUGACUGGGUGGGUGUGGCAUUCUCAAGUCCCCUGGACUUAUCACUAGAUGUCAGUUUGGGCUUAACAUACUAGUUACAAGGUCUCAUCCAGCUGGUGCCCAUGGACUGACAAAGUUGUACUUAGGGAUGGGAAUCUUUGUCUACCCUUAGGCUAAGUGAGUUUAGUUAUCACUCACAUGUCAUAGCUGGAAUGUGUGCUAGGCCCUUAGUGUCCCUCUUCAACUCCAGAGUGGGCACCUAGUGCCCAGAAGGGUUCAGAACAGGGCCAGGUAGUACCUGGUUGAGGAGUGUGUAAAUAACAUCUGUUGUGGAGUGGCUUGAACUCCCUUAGACUCAACUUAUAGCACUUUAUAUACAUGGUGUUUGCCUGCCUACAGCCCUUCCUUGUAGCUGUAGAGCUUCUACUCUGGCACCUACACAAAUGGAAGCAGCUCUGAUGGCCAGGUCUUGCUGGAGGCACCAGGUUCACAGAACGAGAGAAAAGCGGUCUCUUCCAUGCACCCAAGAAUUCAUUGUCACACUUAAGACCCUAGAAAGAAUUUGUCCAAAAAUGAGCUGCCUAGCUAAGCCUGGUACAUGCCUAUAAUUCAUUUCUCCAGGCUAAAGCAUAACUGGGUUAUAGCGCUAAAGCCCCUCUCAAAAAGUGAAAACAUUAAAAAAAAAUGCUAAAGACAUCUAAAGGUCUAGCCCCAGGCCUGGCUCGGGGAAGACUAUGUGGGAAGUCUCCUGUGAUGAGUACCCCCCACCCCCAAAAGCCAGUCAGUGCAGAGCCUUCUCCUGUGUGUCAUUACUUGGCUUGUGGACACCUUCAGAAGUGUGAUACCAGGGUAGUGUGUGGACCAGGGUGUCUCCCUGCCUGACAGCUUCAUGGGACCAUUGUGCCACCCCCCCCUACCCCACCCCCUGCUUCUGCCAAAACUGCAUACAAGUGCAUCAGAUAGCCAUGUGUGAGCUCAGUGCCGAUGAUCAUGUUUACAUCAUUUUCAAUGUUCAAAAGAAAUUCUUUGUGAUGUAAUUUUUCAUUUUUAUUUCAAUCUGUAGGAAUUGUUUGUAAAUUACGGUCAGUGUAGCAUGUCCUCUGUAUUUAAGUGAGACUGUCUUUAUGUGGAGUGUGUCCUGUGCACUGACUGGUCCUGUCUUUGUGUGUAAUUUAUCACUACCUGAAUGUGAUCUAAGUUAUAUCUGGGCCAAAUACACAGUGUGGGUUUUGCUGUCCCA